CUCUGCACGCAAGCUAGCACCUGAGGAUGAGCCUGCGGCCCAUCAGCUAGUUGGUAGGAUAACGGCCUACCAAGGUUAUGACGGGUAGCUGGUCUGAGAGGAUGAUCAGCCACACUGGUACUGAAACACGGGCCAGACUCCUACGGGAGGCAGCAGUGGGGAAUAUUGGACAGUGGGCGCAAGCCUGAUCCAGCGACGCCGCGUGGGUGAUGAAGGCCUUCGGGUUGUAAAGCCCUGUGGGGUGGAAAGAAAAAAGCGGGUUCGAAUAGGGCUCGCUAUUGACGGUACCACCUUAGGAAGCACCGGCUAACUCUGUGCCAGCAGCCGCGGUAAGACAGAGGGUGCGAACGUUGCUCGGAAUUACUGGGCGUAAAGCGCGUGUAGGCGGACUGGAAAGUCAGAUGUGAAAUCCCCGGGCUCAACUCGGGAAUUGCAUUUGAAACUCCCAGCCUAGAGUAGUGGAGAGGGAAGCGGAAUUCCUGGUGUAGAAGUGAAAUUCGUAGAUAUCAGGAGGAACACCGGUGGCGAAGGCGGCUUCCUGGACACUGACUGACGCUGAGACGCGAAAGCGUGGGGAGCAAACAGGAUUAGAU
Molecule: ribosomal RNA, 593 nt
Filed under: uncultured bacterium
Lineage: Bacteria
Description: bacterial SSU rRNA
Rfam family: Bacterial small subunit ribosomal RNA
Source: RNAcentral